GACGAACGCUGGCGGCGUGCUUAACACAUGCAAGUCGAACGGAAAGGCCCUGCUUUUGUGGAGUGCUCGAGUGGCGAACGGGUGAGUAACACGUGAGUAACCUGCCCUUGACUUUGGGAUAACUUCAGGAAACUGGGGCUAAUACCGGAUAGGAGCUCCUGCUGCAUGGUGGGGGUUGGAAAGUUUCGGCGGUUGGGGAUGGACUCGCGGCUUAUCAGCUUGUUGGUGGGGUAGUGGCUUACCAAGGCUUUGACGGGUAGCCGGCCUGAGAGGGUGACCGACCACAUUGGGACUGAGAUACGGCCCAGACUCCUACGGGAGGCAGCAGUGGGGAAUAUUGCACAAUGGGCGGAAGCCUGAUGCAGCAACGCCGCGUGCGGGAUGACGGCCUUCGGGUUGUAAACCGCUUUCGCCUGUGACGAAGCGUGAGUGACGGUAAUGGGUAAAGAAGCACCGGCUAACUACGUG
Molecule: ribosomal RNA, 468 nt
Filed under: uncultured bacterium
Lineage: Bacteria
Description: partial 16S ribosomal RNA
Rfam family: Bacterial small subunit ribosomal RNA
Source: RNAcentral